GCCAGGGUGAGGCUACCGAUCUCAUUCUCCUGGAGCGUGUGAGUGUGUGAGUGGAGUUAGGAAGCAAGGAUGGAGAAAGAGACGUAGUGAACAAGAGCGAGAGGAAGGAAGUAUGAAUGAGAGUGUGUGUGAGAUCAGAGCUGGGAAGCUCGUGGAAGCACCGGGACACAAGCAACACUACUGUCUGCAAAGAUCAUGAGGGUGUCCGAGGGCAGUCAGAAUGGAGCUUCCUGAAUUAUGUUACACAACACCCGGUGGACCCUCUGUUUCGUGGAUCCGCUUGGAGGAAGAUGGUGAUGAAUGAUGUGUUCAGACCUCUAUGAUGG
Labeo rohita (rohu) is the source of this 326-nucleotide long non-coding RNA. RefSeq lists it as uncharacterized. The record is from RefSeq and is a predicted model, not a curated record. NCBI's taxonomy places the organism in Eukaryota, Metazoa, Chordata, Actinopteri, Cypriniformes, Cyprinidae. The transcript is spliced from 3 exons.